Molecule: ribosomal RNA, 355 nt
Filed under: uncultured eukaryote
Lineage: Eukaryota
Description: partial 18S ribosomal RNA
Rfam family: Eukaryotic small subunit ribosomal RNA
Source: RNAcentral
CAAUAGCGUAUAUUAAAGUUGUUGCAGUUAAAAAGCUCGUAGUCGAACAUUGUUCAUUUGAUCAUGUUUUGUAGCUACGCUCCAAUGAUGGUCGAAUGAACUUUGCGCAGCUCUAUUUCUUUCGGGCAAUAGGGCUCUGCCACUUUGAAUAUAUCAAAGUGUUCAAAGCAAGUUCUCUUGAUUGCUCAAGCAUGGAAUACGGAAUCGGCGUUUGCCUUUUCUUAGGUUCUAAAGGCAUUUGCAAUGAUUGAGAGGAACGGAUGGGGGGAUACGCAUUUGACUGUUAGAGGUGAAAUUCUUGGAUCAGUCAAAGGCGAACUGAUGCGAAAGCGUUUCCCAAGAACGUUUUUAUUGA